AUAAGAAACUAAAACAUAAAAAAAAAAUUACCAACCCCGAACUUUUUAACAGUAAUGUGUUUUUGCAGAGUUCACAGGUGCUUAUUCUUUAAGUAAACAACCCCUUGAAAUACAUACACAUGCAAUCGACUGGCCGCAUAGUGACUGUCUUCCUGUCAGUGCUUUGUUCUGUUUCCUUCAAGGUUUAUGAUCAAAGUGUGCAGAAAAGGCCAUCAGCACCUCAAUUAAAUUAGUUUGAGAUGUAGCACAGCCAUUGGCGACCACAGCUUCAGUGCUGCCCGCGGUGCAUGUGUGUAUGUCUGUCAGAGCGAGUGCAUGUAAACACACACAUGAGGGCUUAGCUUUGCCCCUAUAGAGAGGUGACAGCGAACACACUUGUCACUUUCUGCAUUGUCAGCAGUGUUGCUAGUGUUCCUGACACUCCAUCAUAUGUUUUUUGGGCUGGUCCGUGGGAAUGGGCAGGAAUAGCUUCCUCUAUCAGUUAGUUCACACAGGAUCCUGUCACCUUCCUCAUCACACACCUAACCGCUGCCAUUCUUAUCCCAGCAGGGUCCAUGGAGAUCUGCAUGCCACUAUAUGGACACUGUCCAUACUGACCACAGGACCAGAAGCCCAGAGCACUGCAUGGGGCACCACAGAUAAGGCCACUCUGCUGCCUGAAAGCUUAAAACAGAGACUCAAAACAGUCUCAGUUAAGUCUCAGCAUCCUGGCAUUGUGAGGAUGACCUAAACCUUGGGCCGACAGAAGCGUGAAGACCAUGGAUUCUUGUGCCAUUUACAACAUCACCGUUCCACUCCAGACAAGUGAAGGAUGGCUGUGAUCCCAGAUGUGCUGCAGUCAUAAGGAUAAAGGGCCGGGGCUGUCACA
Carassius auratus (goldfish) is the source of this 868-nucleotide long non-coding RNA. RefSeq lists it as uncharacterized. Lineage: Eukaryota; Metazoa; Chordata; Actinopteri; Cypriniformes; Cyprinidae. The record is from RefSeq and is a predicted model, not a curated record. The transcript is spliced from 4 exons.